RNAcentral lists this long non-coding RNA (227 nucleotides) under Elaeis guineensis (African oil palm). RNAcentral describes it as "long non-coding RNA (EGUI_LNC021959)". Lineage: Eukaryota; Viridiplantae; Streptophyta; Magnoliopsida; Arecales; Arecaceae. The record is from RNAcentral.
UAGAGACUUUAUCAUAGUACAAGAGUUCAAGGAAGAUGUCACUUUGUGAUGAAAAAUAUUAGAAUAACUAUUAUUCAAUAAUCAAUAAUUCAUAUACAAGGAUGAACUCAAUCGUCAUACUAUUGGUUUUAAGACACAAUUUUCAAUAAUGUAAUAGAAACUUUACUUUACAAUAUCACCUUUCAUCCUCCCAAGUCUUCCAUUUAGUGUCCAAUCCACCUCCCCCU